GAUGAAGAACGUAGCGAAAUGCGAUAAGUAAUGUGAAUUGCAGAAUUCAGUGAAUCAUCGAAUCUUUGAACGCACAUUGCGCCCGCCAGUAUUCUGGCGGGCAUGCCUGUUCGAGCGUCAUUUCAACCCUCAAGCUCGGCUUGCUGUUGGGUCCCCCGCCGUUGCUUCAACGGCGGACCCGAAAGAUAGUGGCAGAGUCCGUGAGACCCUGGAUGCAGCGAGCUUCUAGCACGCGUCUAGGCGGUCUUCGGGCUUGGUCUUAACCAAUUGUCAACUUCUGAUUGACCUCGGAUCAGGUAGGGAUACCCGCUGAACUUAAGCAUAUCAAUAAGCGGAGGA
RNAcentral lists this unclassified non-coding RNA (339 nucleotides) under soil metagenome. RNAcentral's name for it is "partial contains 5.8S ribosomal RNA, internal transcribed spacer 2, and large subunit ribosomal RNA". The stretch from base 1 to 120 matches the Rfam family "5.8S ribosomal RNA", at positions 35 to 154 of the family's 154-position model. The record is from RNAcentral.